UGACGUGUGGGGUGUCCCCUGCCAUGCUUGCCACUGAAGAGACCAGGACGUUGCUAACCAGGUGAAGCCUCAAUUAUGAGAAAAAAAUCAAGAAGUUCCCUAUUUUUAAGGCUGUGGUAUUCAAGAGCCAGGUGGUCACAGGGACAAACUUCACGUUGCUGAUAACAUCGUAUACUUCCAAGUAUUUAACAAGUCUCCCUCAUGAAAACAAGCCCUUGACCUCAUCUGACUACCAGCCCAAGGCCAACAGGACAAGCUGCUGUAUUUC
This 268-nucleotide long non-coding RNA is filed under the name Homo sapiens (human). Its description in RNAcentral is "non-protein coding lnc-VGLL4-3:1". The record is from RNAcentral. Lineage: Eukaryota; Metazoa; Chordata; Mammalia; Primates; Hominidae.